Molecule: ribosomal RNA, 484 nt
Filed under: uncultured bacterium
Lineage: Bacteria
Description: partial 16S ribosomal RNA
Rfam family: Bacterial small subunit ribosomal RNA
Source: RNAcentral
AUUGAACGCUGGCGGCAGGCCUAACACAUGCAAGUCGAGCGGAUGAAGGGAGCUUGCUCCUGGAUUCAGCGGCGGACGGGUGAGUAAUGCCUAGGAAUCUGCCUGGUAGUGGGGGAUAACGUCCGGAAACGGGCGCUAAUACCGCAUACGUCCUGAGGGAGAAAGUGGGGGAUCUUCGGACCUCACGCUAUCAGAUGAGCCUAGGUCGGAGUAGCUAGUUGGUGGGGUAAGGGCCUACCAAGGCGACGAUCCGUAACUGGUCUGAGAGGAUGAUCAGUCACACUGGAACGGAGACCCGGUCCAGACUCCUACGGGAGGCAGCAGUGGGGAAUAUUGGACAAGGGGCGAAAGCCUGAUCCAGCCAUGCCGCGUGUGUGAAGAAGGUCUUCGGAUUGUAAAGCACUUUAAGUUGGGAGGAAGGGCAGUAAGUUAAUACCUUGCUGUUUUGACGUUACCAACAGAAUAAGCACCGGCUAACUUCGUG